This 369-nucleotide ribosomal RNA is filed under the name uncultured bacterium. RNAcentral's name for it is "bacterial SSU rRNA". It matches the Rfam family "Bacterial small subunit ribosomal RNA", at positions 28 to 402 of the family's 1533-position model. The record is from RNAcentral.
GACGAACGCUGGCGGCGUGCUUAACACAUGCAAGUCGAGCGGAAAGGCCCUUCGGGGUACUCGAGCGGCGAACGGGUGAGUAACACGUGAGUAACCUGCCCUGGACUUUGGGAUAACCCUCGGAAACGGGGGCUAAUACCGGAUAUGACCUGUCACUGCAUGGUGGUGGGUGGAAAGUUUUUCGGUCUGGGAUGGGCUCGCGGCCUAUCAGCUUGUUGGUGGGGUGAUGGCCUACCAAGGCGACGACGGGUAGCCGGCCUGAGAGGGCGACCGGCCACACUGGGACUGAGACACGGCCCAGACUCCUACGGGAGGCAGCAGUGGGGAAUAUUGCACAAUGGGCGGAAGCCUGAUGCAGCGACGCCGCGU